AACGAACGCUGGCGGCUUGCCUAACACAUGCAAGUCGAACGAGACCUUCGGGUCUAGUGGCGCACGGGUGCGUAACGCGUGGGAACCUGCCCUUAGGUUCGGAAUAACUCCCCGAAAGGGGUGCUAAUACCGAUAAUGUCUUCGGACCAAAGAUUUAUCGCCUUUGGAUGGGCCCGCGUUGGAUUAGCUAGUUGGUAGGGUAAAAGCCUACCAAGGCGACGAUCCAUAGCUGGUCUGAGAGGAUGAUCAGCCACACUGGGACUGAGACACGGCCCAGACUCCUACGGGAGGCAGCAGUGGGGAAUAUUGGACAAUGGGCGAAAGCCUGAUCCAGCAAUGCCGCGUGAGUGAUGAAGGCCUUAGGGUUGUAAAGCUCUUUUACCCGGGAUGAUAAUGACAGUACCGGGAGAAUAAGCUCCGGCUAACUCCGUG
Molecule: ribosomal RNA, 432 nt
Filed under: uncultured bacterium
Lineage: Bacteria
Description: partial 16S ribosomal RNA
Rfam family: Bacterial small subunit ribosomal RNA
Source: RNAcentral